RNAcentral lists this unclassified non-coding RNA (253 nucleotides) under uncultured Oligoflexales bacterium. RNAcentral describes it as "contains 16S-23S intergenic spacer region". It matches the Rfam family "Bacterial small subunit ribosomal RNA", at positions 524 to 776 of the family's 1533-position model. The record is from RNAcentral. Lineage: Bacteria; Pseudomonadati; Bdellovibrionota; Oligoflexia; Oligoflexales.
UACGGAGGGUGCAAGCGUUGCUCGGAAUUAUUGGGCGUAAAGGGCAGGUAGGUGGUCUUGUUUGUCUGGGGUGAAAUCCUUGAGCUUAACUCAAGAAGUGCCUUAGAAACGGCAAGACUAGAGUCUCGGAGAGGCUAGUGGAAUUCCCGGUGUAGCGGUGAAAUGCGUAGAGAUCGGGAGGAACACCAGAGGCGAAGGCGGCUAGCUGGACGAGCACUGACACUCAACUGCGAAAGCGUGGGGAGCAAACAGG